AUGCCUGCGGACCUGAGCCGGUGGGUGAUGCAGAGUUACGAUCCAGACAGCGAGUGUAUUGUAGUCCAAGGCAGGGGCGAGAUUCCCGUAACAGCCGAAAGCGUCCACCAUACUUUGGGUCUACGCAACUCUGGGGAAGACGUGUUCUAUGGCUGGGAUUCAGAAGCUAUAUCAUUCAUAAACAGCAGGUACGGGUUUGAGAAUGGAAGUGCCCCCGAGAUAACAACCGUCUACAACAUGAUUGGAAAGAUGGUGAGGAGAGCAGACGAUGAUUUCAUGCGGGCAUGGUUGAUAGUUGUAGUGAGCACUUUCAUGUGCCCCACAACGAGCCUUCAUGUCAGUCCUUGA
Molecule: ribosomal RNA, 348 nt
Filed under: Triticum aestivum (bread wheat)
Lineage: Eukaryota; Viridiplantae; Streptophyta; Magnoliopsida; Poales; Poaceae
Description: partial small subunit ribosomal RNA
Source: RNAcentral